GACGUAGGAGGCGAGCGUUAUCCGGAUUCACUGGGCGUAAAGCGCAUGUAGGCGGUUCGAUAAGUCCGCUGUUAAAGCCCCCGGCUCAACUGGGGGAGGUCAGUGGAGACUAUAGGACUUGAGGGCAACAGAGGCACGUGGAACUCCCGGUGUAGCGGUGGAAUGCGUAGAGAUCGGGAAGAACACCAGUGGCGAAGGCGACGUGCUGGGUUGCGACUGACGCUGAGGAGCGAAAGCGUGGGGAGCGAACAGG
RNAcentral lists this ribosomal RNA (253 nucleotides) under uncultured bacterium. RNAcentral describes it as "partial 16S ribosomal RNA". It matches the Rfam family "Bacterial small subunit ribosomal RNA", at positions 524 to 776 of the family's 1533-position model. The record is from RNAcentral.